AACGAACGCUGGCGGCAGGCCUAACACAUGCAAGUCGAGCGCACCUUCGGGUGAGCGGCGGACGGGUUAGUAACGCGUGGGAACGUGCCCAGAUCUACGGAAUAGCCUCGGGAAACUGAGAGUAAUACCGUAUACGCCCUUCGGGGGAAAGAUUUAUCGGAUUUGGAUCGGCCCGCGUUAGAUUAGGUAGUUGGUGGGGUAAUGGCCUACCAAGCCUACGAUCUAUAGCUGGUUUGAGAGGAUGAUCAGCAACACUGGGACUGAGACACGGCCCAGACUCCUACGGGAGGCAGCAGUGGGGAAUCUUAGACAAUGGGGGAAACCCUGAUCUAGCCAUGCCGCGUGAGUGACGAAGGCCCUAGGGUCGUAAAGCUCUUUCAACUGUGAAGAUAAUGACGGUAGCAGUAGAAGAAACCCCGGCUAACUC
Molecule: ribosomal RNA, 427 nt
Filed under: uncultured bacterium
Lineage: Bacteria
Description: bacterial SSU rRNA
Rfam family: Bacterial small subunit ribosomal RNA
Source: RNAcentral